Molecule: long non-coding RNA, 1203 nt
Organism: Erigeron canadensis
Lineage: Eukaryota; Viridiplantae; Streptophyta; Magnoliopsida; Asterales; Asteraceae
Exons: 2
Source: RefSeq, a predicted model, not a curated record
ACGCCCUGCAAAAAAAGAUUCAUAAACACUUGAAAAUGCCAUCUUUUCAGUUUUAGUUCAUAACAAUGUAUAACUUUCCGUUGCCAUACGCCAUUUACAGCUGUUGUUUUUUUCCUUAAUACCUUUUAAUUUGGCCGAGGCCUCUACUCCCAACCACCAAAAGAUCAACAUUCAUUUGUUCAGCAGCUUCUACUAUUAUCUCUUUCGGGUUUCCUCUAAUCACCAUUGUCUCUGCUUUAAUCUGUUGUCAUGAGUUUUUUAAAGUUAAUCAACUACCAAGAAUUGCAAUAGUAUGUAAAUGUAAACUAAUGUUAUUCUAUAUAUGUGGCUGCCCUCGACUUGCCCUUUGUUGUUCACAUAUUUUUGUUGCACGUGACAUGACUUCGGCUGCACUUUCUUCCUGCGCCUUUUUUACAGAAUCCAUCACCGCUGGUGUUGCGAAUAGAACUAUAUAUCAUAGCAACCAAUAAAUAGUAUUCUCAUAUUUAAUCGAUCCAUAGGCUGUUGUAUGUAGGGUUCAAUGUGGUUUGAUAUUUAGCCGAACUGUUUAAUUAAUCCAACUAAAUGACUAUGUAACGUAAGCAAAUAAUUACUUCUCUACAACAUCCAAUAAUGCAAUAUAAUUGUCACGAAUUAGCUAGGCUCGAUCAUAUUCUAUUUUCAUUUUACUUCUUUAGUUACUCUUUUAGUGAUGUGCAUUGCUCGUUUAAAGAACGGGCAUCACGAAGAGGAGACAAACGGCAACAUCAAUUACGAAGACGGGAAGAGAGAAAUAACGUAAAUCAUGUGUCAAAACUUGAAAAUCUAUCAAGUUGUGGUAAGACGUUUGAAAGGUAUCAGAAGAGACCCGCAUUAAAAUCUCUCAACUAACCUUUUCGGGACAAAGCGUAGCUAAGAAAAGGCAACGAGAAUACAGGGACAGCGGUGUAUGGCAUUUGAAAAGGAGGCUGGACAUGAACAACCGUGAUCAUGGAGGGCUCCGCCUCCUCCGGCGGAGGCGUUGAGGUGGUCUGGUGGAGAAAUAAAUGAUCAAGAGCCCAUUGAAGAGCAUACAAACUCCCAUCACUCUCGUCUAUUGCUACCAUUAUCUUCAUUAUUGUUUCUUGUUUUUGCACUUGUACCAGUGUCUGCGCCACCGUUUUAUUAAUUGCCGAAAAUAUUGUCACCUUAAUCCUUUAUCAGUUUGGUGCGUUGUUUUCUUUU